UACGUAGGUGGCGGGCGUCGUCCGGAUUUACUGGGCGUAAAGGGAGCGUAGGCGGACUUUUAAGUGAGAUGUGAAAUACUCGGGCUCAACUUGAGUGCUGCAUUUCAAACUGGGAGACUUGAGUGCAGAAGAGGAGAGUGGAACUCCAUGUGUAGCGGUGAAAUGCGUAGAUAUAUGGAAGAACACCAGUGGCGAAAGCGGCUCUCUGGUCUGUAACUGACGCUGAGGUUCGAAAGCGUGGGUAGCAAACAGG
Molecule: ribosomal RNA, 253 nt
Filed under: uncultured bacterium
Lineage: Bacteria
Description: partial 16S ribosomal RNA
Rfam family: Bacterial small subunit ribosomal RNA
Source: RNAcentral